UGGGGAAUAUUGGACAAUGGGCGAAAGCCUGAUCCAGCAAUGCCGCGUGAGUGAUGAAGGCCUUAGGGUUGUAAAGCUCUUUUACCCGGGAUGAUAAUGACAGUACCGGGAGAAUAAGCUCCGGCUAACUCCGUGCCAGCAGCCGCGGUAAUACGGAGGGAGCUAGCGUUAUUCGGAAUUACUGGGCGUAAAGCGCACGUAGGCGGCUUUGUAAGUUAGAGGUGAAAGCCUGGAGCUCAACUCCAGAACUGCCUUUAAGACUGCAUCGCUUGAAUCCAGGAGAGGUGAGUGGAAUUCCGAGUGUAGAGGUGAAAUUCGUAGAUAUUCGGAAGAACACCAGUGGCGAAGGCGGCUCACUGGACUGGUAUUGACGCUGAGGUGCGAAAGCGUGGGGAGCAAACA
RNAcentral lists this ribosomal RNA (402 nucleotides) under Caulobacter vibrioides. RNAcentral's name for it is "partial 16S ribosomal RNA". It matches the Rfam family "Bacterial small subunit ribosomal RNA", at positions 355 to 774 of the family's 1533-position model. Lineage: Bacteria; Pseudomonadati; Pseudomonadota; Alphaproteobacteria; Caulobacterales; Caulobacteraceae. RNAcentral also lists the same sequence under 3 other names. The record is from RNAcentral.